AAGAAGAGAGCAGAUACCAAAAAUAAAUAAAUAAAAUUAUACAGCAAAUCCCUAAAAUCCAAUUUCCCAUCGGAAUCGGAUUCAUCGGCAAUCAACAACAACAACACACACUCGAAGAAGAAGAAGAAGAAGAAGAAGAAGAAGAAGAAGAAGAAGAAGAAGAAGAAGAAGAAGAAGAAGAAGAAGAAGAAGAAGAAGAAGAAGAAGAAGAAGAAGAAGAAGAAGAAGAAGAUGGGAUUACAAGGUCAACUCUCCGACGUCUCCUCCGAUUCAAUCCCUCUGAUGCUCGUUGCUCUCCUCGCUACUUUCUUCAAACACGUUCGCUCUUUUCUCCUCCGUUUCUCCUCCUCCGGUCCUCAUCUCUCCGUCGACGAUGCUUCUGCCUCGGUUUCUUCAGGACUCGAGAGCCUCGUCGUCCUCGCCGACCAGCUCAAACUCAAUCGCGUAUUCUCCUACCGCUACGCCGAUACCGCCGCCUCCGAUUGCAUCGUCUGUUUGUCUACACUCAAGGCCGGAGAAGAAGUGAGGAAGCUCGAUUGCAGACACGUCUUCCACAAGGAGUGUUUGGAAGGUUGGCUACAACAUCUCAAUUUCAAUUGCCCGCUCUGUAGAU
This 613-nucleotide long non-coding RNA is filed under the name Eutrema salsugineum. Its description in RNAcentral is "long non-coding RNA (ESAL_LNC001057)". Lineage: Eukaryota; Viridiplantae; Streptophyta; Magnoliopsida; Brassicales; Brassicaceae. The record is from RNAcentral.